UACAGAGGGGGCAAGCGUUAUUCGGAAUUAUUGGGCGUAGAGGGCGCGUAGGCGGCCUGACAAGUGGAUGGUGAAAUCCCUCAGCUUAACUGGGGAACUGCGUCUGAUACUGGAUGGCUUGAGUUUGGGAGAGGGAUGCGGAAUUCCAGGUGUAGCGGUGAAAUGCGUAGAUAUCUGGAGGAACACCGGUGGCGAAGGCGGCAUCCUGGACCAACACUGACACUGAGGAGCGAAAGCCAGGGGAGCAAACGGG
RNAcentral lists this ribosomal RNA (253 nucleotides) under uncultured bacterium. Its description in RNAcentral is "partial 16S ribosomal RNA". It matches the Rfam family "Bacterial small subunit ribosomal RNA", at positions 524 to 776 of the family's 1533-position model. The record is from RNAcentral.